CCCUUAGACGUUCUGGGCCGCACGCGCGCUACACUGACGGAGCCAGCGAGCUUUUCCUUAACCGAGAGGUUUGGGUAAUCUUGUGAAACUCCGUCGUGCUGGGGAUAGAGCAUUGUAAUUAUUGCUCUUCAACGAGGAAUUCCUAGUAAGCGCAAGUCAUCAGCUUGCGUUGAUUACGUCCCUGCCCUUUGUACACACCGCCCGUCGCUAGUACCGAUUGAAUGGCUUAGCGAGGCUUCAGGAUUUGCUUAGAUCGAGGGGCAACUCUCUUUCAGAGCGGAGAAUCUAGUCAAACUUGGUCAUUUAGAGGAACUAAAAGUCGUAACA
This 327-nucleotide ribosomal RNA is filed under the name uncultured eukaryote. RNAcentral's name for it is "partial 18S ribosomal RNA". It matches the Rfam family "Eukaryotic small subunit ribosomal RNA", at positions 1470 to 1796 of the family's 1831-position model. The record is from RNAcentral.